RNAcentral lists this long non-coding RNA (587 nucleotides) under Brassica napus (rape). RNAcentral describes it as "long non-coding RNA (BNAP_LNC007164)". Lineage: Eukaryota; Viridiplantae; Streptophyta; Magnoliopsida; Brassicales; Brassicaceae. The record is from RNAcentral.
GAAAAUCACUGCCAAUAUUUAGGUGAAUGUUAGCCACGCGUUAAGACAUAUGUUUUUCUUUUUUUUUCAAUAGCACAUUACGAUAGCAUUAUUUUAAAAACUGUUAUGAAAAAUCAAUUUCUAAUCUUUGAAAUCUUAACCCUAAACAUGUUUUAAACCCUAAACUCUAAAAGUAAACCUUGAAACUCUUAUCACCCUAAACUCUAAAAGUAAACCUUAAAACUCUUAUCUUUUGAUACCAUAACCCGAAAUUAUAAACUUACACUCAAAACUAUUCCUUUUAAUCUUAGUCUUUAACUUCCAAAACACAAACCUUAAAUCUUUAGUCAAACUCUAUACCCUAAGCUCUAUACAUAAACCCUAUACAUAAACCUUAUAAUCCAAAUUAUAAAUAUAAACACUAACAUAUUGUAUUCAACACCCCCAUACUGUUCAUAUUUUAGUUCCAAAUUUUAAAAAAGUUCAAAAUUUAGUUAUUUUCAAAUUUUAAUCUCAAAAUCUUAAAACCAACCCUUAACAUCACACUUCAAACCCUAAAACCUACAUCCAAAUCAUAAUCUAAAUAUUAAUCUAAUAUUUUAAAACUU